AUUAGAUACCCUAUUAUUUUAAAUGUUAAUGUAUUUACUAAAUUAGUAUUAGUUAAGUUCUUGAAAAUUAAAAAAUUUGGCGGUAUUUUAGUCUUUUCAGAGGAACCUGUCCUGUAAUUGAUAAUUCACGAUAUAGUGUACUUUAUUUAUUAGUUUAUAUAUCGUCGUAGUUUAAAUAUUUUUGGAGAAUUAAAAUAUUUAGGAUUUAAUAUUAAAAAAUAUAUCAGAUCAAGGUGUAAUUUAUAAUAAAGUAGAGAUGGGUUACAUUAAAUUUAUUUAGUGAUUAUUAUUAGGAUAAUAAUAUGAAUAUGGAUUUGAAGGUAAUUUUAUUAAGUUUUUUAAAAUGAUUAAAGCUCUAAAAUAUGCAC
This 368-nucleotide ribosomal RNA is filed under the name Zabrotes amplissimus. RNAcentral describes it as "partial 12S small subunit ribosomal RNA". Lineage: Eukaryota; Metazoa; Arthropoda; Insecta; Coleoptera; Chrysomelidae. The record is from RNAcentral.